RNAcentral lists this ribosomal RNA (292 nucleotides) under uncultured bacterium. RNAcentral's name for it is "partial 16S ribosomal RNA". The record is from RNAcentral.
GGACUACCCGGGUAUCUAAUCCUGUUCGCUCCCCACGCUUUCGCGCCUCAGCGUCAGUAUGAUGCCAGGUGGCUGCCUUCGCCAUUGACGUUCCUUCCGAUCUCUACGCAUUUCACCGCUACACCGGAAAUUCCGCCACCCUCUCAUCUACUCUAGCUACAUAGUUUGCGAUGCGCUUCCUAGGUUGAGCCCAGGGCUUUCACAUCACACUUACAUAACCGCCUACGCGCCCUUUACGCCCAGUAAUUCCGAUUAACGCUUGCACCCUCUGUAUUACCGCGGCUGCUGGCAC